CCUACGGGAGGCUGCAGUGAGGAAUAUUGGUCAAUGGGCGUAAGCCUGAACCAGCCAAGUCGCGUGAGGGAUGAAGGUUCUAUGGAUCGUAAACCUCUUUUAUAAGGGAAUAAAGUGCGGGACGUGUCCCGUUUUGUAUGUACCUUAUGAAUAAGGAUCGGCUAACUCCGUGCCAGCAGCCGCGGUAAUACGGAGGAUCCGAGCGUUAUCCGGAUUUAUUGGGUUUAAAGGGUGCGUAGGCGGCCUUUUAAGUCAGCGGUGAAAGUUUGUGGCUCAACCAUAGAAUUGCCGUUGAAAUUGGGUGGCUUGAGGAUGUUUGAGGUAGGCGGAAUGCGUGGGGUAGCGGUGGAAUGCUUAGAUAUCACGCAGAACCCCGAUUGCGAAGGCAGCCUGCCAAGCCAUGACUGACGCUGAUGCACGAAAGCGUGGGGAUCAAACAGGAUUAGAUACCCUUGUAGUC
RNAcentral lists this ribosomal RNA (460 nucleotides) under uncultured bacterium. Its description in RNAcentral is "partial 16S ribosomal RNA". It matches the Rfam family "Bacterial small subunit ribosomal RNA", at positions 338 to 795 of the family's 1533-position model. The record is from RNAcentral.